RNAcentral lists this unclassified non-coding RNA (24 nucleotides) under Dictyostelium discoideum. Lineage: Eukaryota; Evosea; Eumycetozoa; Dictyosteliales; Dictyosteliaceae. The record is from RNAcentral.
UAGCAAAGUAGUCCCUCUGGUCCC